CAUGGCAGCGUGAAAUUACUAGUUUGGGUUAAAGUUAAACAAAUAAAAGCGCGUAACUUUACCGAUGAAGCAUUAUCUCCUCAUCACGCCCACAACAUCAAACUGACACGGUUUACACAGACAAGAACAAUAAAAAGUAAAAACAAACCCAUGAACUUCAUGACUUUGAUUUUUUUCAUCUCCUUCUGGUUGUUCCACCGUCACUGGUUUAACGUUAAAUUCUGUCAUCAACUACCAAAUUAUUUUUUCCUCUUUCACACAUUCCCGUUUUCUUUUCCUUUCUUUAUCGCAAUUAAUUGCAUUGUAAAAAAAAAAUACAUAUCUUUUUCUUCAAGUCAAAGAAACGAUGAAAAAAAAAACUAA
Non-coding RNA from Vicia faba (fava bean), 363 nucleotides. The record is from the annotation of a GenBank genome assembly. Lineage: Eukaryota; Viridiplantae; Streptophyta; Magnoliopsida; Fabales; Fabaceae.